AGUGGGGUUUAUUCACAUGGCUCGUACACAUCUUGAGCUUCUAAGAGAAAGCCAGAUAAAAAUCUAACAAAGAAAUCAGAUGUUCAGCCAGCACCUUCUUUUUGAUAGAAACCCAAUAUUUUCCUUCAUUUUCCAUCAUUCUUCCAGCACUUCAUAAGGUAAGCAUAUGACUCAUCUUCUGUCCCUGGAUGACAUGUUCACAAUAUUGGUAUGUUUGCUGUAUCUGGAAAUGGGCCAAACCACCACAUGCAGAGGACAUAGUGCCUGAGGGAAACCUAGGCAAGACCUCAAGGAGAUCACGUAGUAAACACCAUAGAAACCGCAAAACUCUGAGACAACAAUCUUGAAGACGGAUGUCCAAAAUAAAUCUUCAUAAGCCCCCAAA
Molecule: long non-coding RNA, 385 nt
Organism: Pantherophis guttatus
Lineage: Eukaryota; Metazoa; Chordata; Lepidosauria; Squamata; Colubridae
Source: RefSeq, a predicted model, not a curated record